RNAcentral lists this ribosomal RNA (3345 nucleotides) under Aspergillus sclerotioniger. RNAcentral's name for it is "large subunit ribosomal RNA". It matches the Rfam family "Bacterial large subunit ribosomal RNA". The record is from RNAcentral. Lineage: Eukaryota; Fungi; Ascomycota; Eurotiomycetes; Eurotiales; Aspergillaceae.
UAUCUUACAAUAUAGGUGAUAUGAAAUCCUAAAUUUCUUGAUAAAAUCAAGGCAAGUAUAUAAAGAAACUAUUAUGGAUAAUUAGCUAUAUAUUAAAGAAAUCUAGUCAAACUAGUUUCUAAGAGAAAUCAAAUAAUAAACGAAGUGAAUUGAAAUAUCUUAGUAACUUUAGGAAAAGAAAUCAAACGAGAUUGUUCUUUGGUGUAAACUAAAUAACAAAAGCCUAAUAACAAAACUUGUUAAAGUAAAACGGAUUAAAAUCUGUUUGAAUAUAGGGGAACCUUCCUCUAAGGCUAAAUAUAAUAUAUAAGCGAUAGUGAAAAGUACCGUGAGGUAAAAUUUGAAAUAGUAGUUUUAUAAGCAGCUCGAGUGAAAUUUAAGUAAAAAAUAAGAGCGUACCUUUUGCAUAAUGGGUCAGCAAGUUAAUUUUAGAUGCAAGCAAUGAUUUCUUGGUAAUUUACCAAGAAACUAGCUUAGAUAAACCAAUUAUGAGAAAAUGAAUAAGUAUCUAGAAUUAGACCCGAAGACUAGUGAUCUUACCAUGGUCAGGGUUAUAAAAGCCCGAACGGGUUAUCGUUGUAUAGAUAUCCGAAGAAUUGUGGUAAGUUAGUGAAAGACAAAACUGACUAGUAUAGCUGGUUUUCCGCGAAACCUAUAUGAGUAGGUAAUUUAACUAACAUCUUAGCAGGUACAGAACUGUGAUCUCGGACAAUAUCAAUUGAUUUUGUCAACAUCGGGGGGUUGUAGUGACUUUACCGGAGAGUAUUUGCACUCGGAAUGGCAAAGAUGAAUGUUAAAUAAUCGGACAUAGUGCGAUAAGGUUGUAUGUCUAAAGGGAAACAGCCCAGAACAAGAGUUAAGGUUCCAAAAUUAUUGUUGAGUGAAAUUAAGGAUGUUUUUUUUUAAUACAACCAGGAAAUAGGCUUAGAAGCGGCCAUUUUUUGAAGAUCUCGUAACAGAGCACUGAUUUAUUUUAGGGAAAAAUUCCGAAAAUUUAACGGAUCUAAAUAAUAUACCAAAACCUUGUACACAUUUUAAUAAAUAUAUAUAUUGUAUAUGUGGGGUAGCGGAACAUUGGAUUAAUAUAAUAUAUUAUUUCUUAUAAGAAAUAAUAAAUCUAGAUAAUUAUUAAUAAUAUUUAAGGAUAUUUGUGAUAUCUUUAUAUUUUUUUUAUCUUUAGAUAAAUAUGUUUUAUAUAUUUAAUUAUGUUUUAUAUAUUUAAUUAUGUAUUAUUAUUAUACGUUUUUAUUAUUAAUUAUUAUUGAUCGAUAUAAUCCAAGAGAGAAUGCUGACAUGAGUAACGAAAAAGGUAUAUCCUCGCCUUAAGCUUAUGGUAUUUUAUUUAAUUUUCGGUAUCUAAAAAUAUUAAUCAAAAGGUAAUUUUGAUGAUAUUUAUAUAUUAAUACUUAAAAGUAAAAAAACAAAACCUUUAACAAGUAAUAAAGGUUCGGGAAAAUUUUUUUACUUAAUAUAAAUAUAAAAAAAAUAGUCCCCUCGCCGGGGGCGAAGUCUUUUAAAUGAUUUUUUUUUGUAUUUAUUAUAUAACUUCUUGUUACAAGUUUUCAAGAUUGUAUAAUUUAAAUACAAUAUAUUAUAAAAAAAAUUAUAUUUAUAUUUUAUAUUGUAUAUUAAAGGCUGAUAUACAAACCUCGCGCGCGUGCAGUGAGCACGCACGCGAGGGGACUAAUAAGAUUUAUAUAUACCGUACCUAGAUACUAUCACAAGUAAGCAAGUAGAGAAUACAAAGGCGUUUGAGUGAACAAUCAUUAAGGAACUCGGCAAAUUGACUACCGUAACUUCGGGAUAAGGAGGGCCAUUUUUAUUAGUUUAACAUAUUUUACGAUAUGAUUUAAUUAAACUAAUUUUAAGAGGAAUCAUGAAAUAGUGUUGUACGACUGUUUAAUAAAAACACAGCACUCUGCAAAGAUUAAAUAUCAAAGUAUUGAGUGUGAUGUCUGCCCAAUGUCGGCAGGGUAACGGAUUUACCUUGGUUUUUAACUAAGGUUUUGAAGGAUACCCCGAUUAAUGGCGGCCUUAUCUAUGAGGGUCCUAAGGUAGCGAAAUACCUUGGCCGUUAAAUGCGGUCCUGCAUGAAUGACUUAACGAUACAACAGCUGUCUCGAUGAUUGUCUCAGUGAAAUUGGAAUAGCAGUGCAGAUACUGUUUACCUCUAGAUAGACGAGAAGACCCUAUGCAGCUUUACUGUUACUAAUUGCAAGAGUGAAAAUUCAGGAUGAUUGCGAGUGUAUAAGGUAGUUGUCUGAUAACAAUGAAACACCUUUAUUCGUUUCCUUUUAUAUGCUUUUGAGGAUUAGAAGGCAGUUUAUGCGGGGCACAGAUCCCACAAAAAGUACCUGGGUAUAUCCAAAGUUCAUAUGUAAAUUUGUAAAUUUCUUUACAAUUAUUUUAAUUUGUUAUAUUUAUUUUUAUAUUUAUACAGUUAUUAUAAGAUUAAAUUCAAUAUUUAUUUUUUUUUUAAGUAAGAUUUUAACUAUAUGGUAAAUAGAUGUAUUUUAAACUUUAAUAUUUUAAAAGUUUUUUGUCAUAUUAAUAUUGCAUAUUAACCUUUAUUAAUAUGAUGAUUAAUUAUACUUUAAAAGUUUAAUGGCUAAAUCUUGCUUUACUGUUUGACCUACAAGUCUAUCAGUCGCGUAAGCGGGGCAUAUGAUCACAAGAUGCAUUAAGGAAAGGUCUUGGAUUAUAGAAAAAGUUACGCUAGGGAUUUAUAACUGUGAGUCCUCCAAUAUUAUAAAAUAUUGGUAAAAUAUUUCUGAACCAUUUUGAGAAAAGUGGAAAUAAAAGGAAAAACCUUUUAUGAUAACAUAAUUGAACAGGCUAAUUUGCGCAAGAGAGUACAAAUUGAGUGCGCGGUUUGGCACCUCGAUGUCGGCUUAGCUCAUCCACAUGAAUGCAAAAAUCAUGAAGGGUUCGACUGUUCGUCGAUUAAAGAGCUACAUGAGCUGGGUUUAAUACGUCGUGAGACAGUAUGGUUUCUAUCUUCUAGAGGGAAUUAAAGUAGAAUAAGGAUAGCCCCUUCGUACGAAAGGAGUUGGGUAUAUUGACCUAUGGUUUACCUGUUGUUUAUGUUAUAUAUUAUAUCAUUUGCUUAUACUAAAGUAAAUGUCCGCAUAGGCAUGGCAGGAAGGCUACGUCAGUUAAAGAUAAGUGCUGAAAGCAUUUAAGCGCGAAGCUUACUUUAGGAUACUUUUAAACGUAGAAGAACACUACGAAUAAUUGUUAUAAGUUUACAUAAUAUCUUAAUAUUAAGUAAGAUUAUUAUAAUGAUUAAUAGGCUUUAGUUGAACUAAUCUUGAGAUUUUUAGACAUAAAGUACUAAUUAUUAAA